This 490-nucleotide ribosomal RNA is filed under the name uncultured bacterium. RNAcentral's name for it is "partial 16S ribosomal RNA". It matches the Rfam family "Bacterial small subunit ribosomal RNA", at positions 30 to 507 of the family's 1533-position model. The record is from RNAcentral.
AUUGAACGCUGGCGGCAUGCCUUACACAUGCAAGUCGAACGGCAGCAUGAUCUAGCUUGCUAGAUUGAUGGCGAGUGGCGUACGGGUGAGUAAUACAUCGGAACGUGCCCUGUAGUGGGGGAUAACUAGUCGAAAGAUUAGCUAAUACCGCAUACGACCUGAGGGUGAAAGUGGGGGACCGCAAGGCCUCAUGCUAUAGGAGCGGCCGAUGUCUGAUUAGCUAGUUGGUGAGGUAAAGGCUCACCAAGGCGACGAUCAGUAGCUGGUCUGAGAGGACGAUCGGCCACACUGGGACUGAGACACGGCCCAGACUCCUACGGGAGGCAGCAGUGGGGAAUUUUGGACAAUGGGCGAAAGCCUGAUCCAGCAAUGCCGCGUGUGUGAAGAAGGCCUUCGGGUUGUAAAGCACUUUUGUCCGGAAAGAAAUGGCUCUGGUUAAUACCUGGGGUCGAUGACGGUACCGGAAGAAUAAGGACCGGCUAACUACGUG